Molecule: small nuclear RNA, 23 nt
Filed under: Arabidopsis thaliana (thale cress)
Lineage: Eukaryota; Viridiplantae; Streptophyta; Magnoliopsida; Brassicales; Brassicaceae
Description: snRNA_01354
Source: RNAcentral
AACCCUUUAUCUCAAUGGAAUAA